RNAcentral lists this ribosomal RNA (710 nucleotides) under Pristimantis sp. QCAZ 60398. RNAcentral describes it as "partial large subunit ribosomal RNA". It matches the Rfam family "Bacterial large subunit ribosomal RNA", at positions 839 to 2084 of the family's 2925-position model. The record is from RNAcentral. Lineage: Eukaryota; Metazoa; Chordata; Amphibia; Anura; Strabomantidae.
UUAGCGAUAGCUGGUUUCUCAAGAAAAGAAUUUAGUUCAACAUAAAAUAAUUUUAACCCCCCCCACCCAAUUACACCCCUUUAUUUUAAAGCAAUUCAAAUGAGGUACAGCCCAUUUGACACAGGAUUCAACCUUUACUAACGGGUAACACUUGAUUCACACCUAAAAGUAGGCCUAAGAGCAGCCACCUUUUAAAAAGCGUCAAAGCUUAACUCUGUGAAUAUUAAAUUUUCAGACUCCUACUGACCCCUUUAACUGUACUGAGAACUUCUAUAAAUCUAUAGAACCUUUUCUGCUAAAACUAGUAACAAGAGGACUUCCUCUCCCUAAUGCAAGCUCAACCCAGCAAGAACCAAUCACUGGCAACUAACAGACAAAUGUAGCAACUUCACUAGAAAACCCUACUCUAACCCCUGUUAACCUAACACAAGAGCAUUUCAAGAAAGAUUAAAAGAAAAAGAAGGAAUUUCGCAAACACUAGCCUCGCCUGUUUACCAAAAACAUCGCCUCUUGACCCCCAUAAGAGGUCCAGCCUGCCCAGUGACCCCGUUCAACGGCCGCGGUAUCCUAACCGUGCAAAGGUAGCGUAAUCACUUGUCUUCUAAAUAAAGACCAGUAUGAAAGGCACCACGAGGGCUAAACUGUCUCCUUUCUCUAAUCAGUGAACCUAAUCCCCCCGUGAAGAAGCGGGGAUUCUAAUAUAAGACGAG